AUGCAUCUGACUCCAGGACUGGGGGAGGCGGGGUGGGGGUGGGGAAGGCGCGGCGCGGCCGAGGAAUCCCGAGUCCCGGCCGGGCUUGUGCGGGAUGCACUGUGGCUCAAGCCUUUCCUACACCUCUCGGUCCUCAAAGACCAGCUGGCGCUGGUUUCUGACUCAUCGACAAUCACACACACACAGGCACGCGCGCGCGCACACACACACACACACACACACACACACACACACACACACACACGCAGGCACCCGGACGCCCGCUCCUGGAGACCUGGAGUUUGCAGAGCCGGAGGGGUGGUUGGCUCUCGGCAAAUCUGGAGCCAGCACGCGAAGGCACGGAGAGCACCCGAACCCCACCAGACAAGGCAGGGUGGCCUGGAGAAAGCACCCAGCGCCGGCCUCGGGCAGCGGGGCCCCCCUCGAGCUGCCCAAACCCGGCGCUCGCCCGACCACCUCGGCAGUUCCUCCAAGUUUCUACUCACAGCGGGGCCUCCGCUUUCCCAGCUGCCUCACCCUGAACCUCCAACUUCGUGCCCCCGGGCCGCCCCCCGCCCCUCCGCCUUCCUUAGCUCCGCGCCCGGUCAGGGACCCGCGCGCUUCCCUGGAGCUGCCCAUAUGCCCCCACCCGCGGCGGCGGCCCGGCAGUCUGGCCAGAGCUCGCCGCCGUCUCCCGCUGCUGCUGCCGCGGCGACAGGAGCCUCUGUGAGGCUCCCGGGCCCCUCUUAUGUAUUAUUCACUCGAUGGCCACGGCGCUUUCUGGAAAGCCCAUGCCAGAGACGCGAGGUCUUCGCCCGGAGACUACGAAUUCGGCGAUUUCAGCUUUUUGGAAACUGGGGGUGCUGCGGGGGCGGCGGAGCUCAUUUUUCAGUUGUUUUGCUUUGCGGGGUUGGCUUUUUUUUUUUUUUUUUUUGCCCGGAGCUCGCAGGAGCGCGCUGUCCCCCGGGCCCAAGAAGGAGCGCGCCAGAGCCGGCGAGUGCGGCGGGCAGCCGGGCUAGCCGCCGUGGCUGGCGAGCGAGCUGGUAA
Molecule: long non-coding RNA, 1026 nt
Filed under: Bos indicus x Bos taurus (hybrid cattle)
Lineage: Eukaryota; Metazoa; Chordata; Mammalia; Artiodactyla; Bovidae
Description: lncRNA (ENSBIXG00000005474.1)
Source: RNAcentral